UUAAAAAGGGACCUUUCUCCAAAGGGACAGACGAUGCCCUGUCUAAAGUCAAGUGCCCGGAUGGAUUUGUGGGAGUAAAGUGCGAGUGCAAACCGAUUCAUCUGUGUGAUGGCUCUUACUUCAAGGACGUGGUAACGUGUCAUGCCCACAAGAGAGGGGUUAUGUCCAGUCUCUUUAUUAAGGCAGUAGUGACAUGCAAAAACGAUGUGGACAUCAUCGCCCAAGUGAAGUCUCCGGGAUUCACGAAGGGACCAAGCGCGAAAUGUCCAUCAGAUACGAAACCGGUCUCUUGUUCUGUACAUUCACCCUGGGCUAAUUCGUUAGCUGGGCCCAAUGGCAUGUAUCUGAAAACAACGAUAUCUGGACAGAAAUGCAGCGCCCCCAAUGGAUGUAGCAAAUGUCAGGUUCAGAUCAUCUGCAAGGCCAAAGGCUAAAUCAGCGAUUCCGAUGGGCUAUACUUCUAGUUACAACAACACUGUCU
Molecule: long non-coding RNA, 481 nt
Organism: Lineus longissimus
Lineage: Eukaryota; Metazoa; Nemertea; Pilidiophora; Heteronemertea; Lineidae
Exons: 3
Source: RefSeq, a predicted model, not a curated record